UCCCUGGUGGUCCAGUGGUUAAGAUUGUGCACUUCCACUGCAAGAGUCACAGGUUUGAUCCCUGGUCAGGGAA
Molecule: transfer RNA, 73 nt
Filed under: Ovis aries (sheep)
Lineage: Eukaryota; Metazoa; Chordata; Mammalia; Artiodactyla; Bovidae
Rfam family: tRNA
About the family: Transfer RNA (tRNA) molecules are approximately 80 nucleotides in length. Their secondary structure includes four short double-helical elements and three loops (D, anti-codon, and T loops).
Source: Rfam by way of RNAcentral